GACAGAGGGGGCAAGCGUUGCUCGGAAUUACUGGGCGUAAAGGGCGCGUAGGCGGGCUGGCAAGUCGGUCGUGAAAUCCCUCGGCUCAACUGAGGAUCGUCGAUCGAUACUGCCGUUCUUGGGGAUUGCAGAGGAGACUGGAAUUCCCGGUGUAGCGGUGAAAUGUGUAGAGAUCGGGAGGAACACCGGUGGCGAAGGUGGGUCUCUGGGCAAUUCCUGACGCUGAGGCGCGAAAGCGUGGGGAGCAAACGGG
RNAcentral lists this ribosomal RNA (253 nucleotides) under uncultured bacterium. RNAcentral describes it as "partial 16S ribosomal RNA". It matches the Rfam family "Bacterial small subunit ribosomal RNA", at positions 524 to 776 of the family's 1533-position model. The record is from RNAcentral.